Molecule: unclassified non-coding RNA, 3714 nt
Filed under: Dendronephthya gigantea
Lineage: Eukaryota; Metazoa; Cnidaria; Anthozoa; Malacalcyonacea; Nephtheidae
Description: potassium voltage-gated channel subfamily KQT member 1-like, transcript variant X2
Source: RNAcentral
UUUACUUGCAAAGUUAGUUAACAUUGCAUAUGAACAUUUUAAAGCGGCGUUGUAGAAGUUUAUAGUUACUUUGAAUGAAAUAAAGCUUGCUUCGAGUUAGGAAACAUUAAAGGGUGAAAUGCCGUUUUUGUUACAUGAGAAUGGCCAGGAAUGGUAGCUGGGGAGAACAUUUUAAGACGUAUUGAACAUCUGUGGACAUGUCCAAAUAACGACUCUAUUAUUAUAUUUAUUGACCCGCGAAAGCGCUCGACUAUGGAUAGCAAAUAUGCAGACAGGUUUGACCAUUAUGAGGGGAGAAAUCAUCUACGAAUAUGCAGCGUUGAAUCCUACCAGAAAACGCGAACACGCUACAAACGAAUCCAGUUAAUUUGUUACAAUUUUUUGGAACGACCAAAUGGUAUACUCAGUGUCUCCUAUCAUUUCGCAUUGUUUGGUUUGGUGGUUGUGGGUUUGGUGUUUGCCAUACUGGAAACAAUGGCUGAAUUUAAAGACAAUGAUGGUCUGAUCAUGGCGACUUAUAUAUUGGAAGUUUUUCUACUUAUCGUAUUUACGUCUGAGUAUGUUCUCCGUAUGUGGUCUGCUGGUUGUAGAAGUACUUACUCUGGAGUGUUGGGUCGAAUACGGUUUGCUUUUAAGCCUUUUGUUAUUGUAGAUAUUAUUGUCAUAGCAUCCACUUUUGGAGUCAUUGCCUACUCCUCGAGUUCUGGUAAUCUUUCUUCCACGAUUGGCAUUCUUAGAUUUUUCCAAGUGCUUCGAAUGGUUCGUUUUGAUAGACAAGGCGGAUCUUGGAAAUUGUUGGGCUCAGUUUUGUUUCUUCAUAGACAGGAACUGUUGACAACGUUCUACAUAGGAUUCUGCAGUUUAAUCUUUGCAUCGUUUUUUGUCUGGCAAGCUGAAAAUUCUGAAAAUAUCGAGUUUCAAACAUUCGCUGACUCGUUCUGGUGGGGAGUUGUGACUCUCACAACCGUCGGAUAUGGAGACAAGGUUCCAAAAAGUUGGGCAGGGCGUGGUGUUGCUGCCUUUUUUGCCAUUAUGGGGAUAUCGUUCUUCGCCUUGCCUGCUGGAAUUCUCGGCUCCGGGUUUGCUCUUAAAGUUGCUCAACAUCAGCGGCAGAAACAUGUGAAGAGAAGACGACGACCAGCUGCAAUGUUGAUUCAGAGUAACUGGCGAUAUUAUGCUUCACGAAAGAACUCGCAACUCAAUGCAACGUGGUCACCUUAUAUCAAAUACCUGCAGGAGACCAGUACAAAGAAAGAAGAUAACAUUCCAGAGAAACCAAUGCAGUCAGUGGGACGUGUUAGAAAGAUCUCUAUAUUUGGUCGUAAAGCGUCAGGACAGUCCUCAGAGGGACUUCACAAACCUGCCGAGAGUGUUACACUUGAACAAACGGGGCAAAGAACUCGCAGGGGAUUGAGAAGCGAGAUCUUUCCUUCAAAUGACUCUCUACACGAUGGUCAUUCUACGGCUGAGCAGCAUACUGAUGAGGAACAUGGUGUUAAUCAUGUUAGACCCAUUUUAAUCAAAGAUUGUCGUGGAAACGUAAGUUUGCCACCAGCGUACAAAAGAAGCAUCAGAUUCACCCGUUAUCUCAAGUUUCUUGUUGCUUUGCGCAAGUUCAGGUUAGCAAAGAAACCCUAUGAUGUUAAAGAUGUUAUCGAGCAGUAUAGCACUGGUCAUGUAGAAGUUCUUGGAAAAGUGAAAAGCAUUGGAAAUAAAAUUGAUGAAGCGUUGGGCUACAAAGUAGGCACAGACAAAUUGAAUGACACUCCUUCAGCAGGAAGAACAAAUGUGGUUCAUCGACUAUCGAAACUUGAGAAACAGGUGAAAACUUUAGAAUCAAAAGUAGAUAAAAUGAUCACUUUGUUGGAAGACUCGAAAAGAGAAAGGGAAGAGCGAAAGUUUUGUUGUGGACAUGACCAUUCUUCAAAACAGAGAACAACCAUGGAGCAACUAAAGAGAGAAAAUCUGCCAAGCGUAGAAAUAAGGCGAUCUAUGCGAAGGCGAAAGAUUGGGACAAACAGUCAAAACUUGCAACACGUUUGUUUAUCCGAACGAGAUGAGCUUGUUUCUAGUGAAGAAAUGAGCCCAAGAAAUAGAGCAACAGAUAAACCAUGUUUAAGUGGUGGAACUCCUGUGAAUUUUGAGUCAAAUGGUAGCAAGCAUCUAUCACCAGAGCCUAAUUAUGAUGAUGGUUCGUGUUAUCUGUCUCGGCAGUCAUCAGCGUAUGGUAUUUCUGAUAAUUGUCCUUCACCAAACUCCAGCAGCUCUGAUGAAAGCUACCAGUCAAAAGAUGACUAUCAGAAUGGCAGUGAGAUGCCGCAUAAUGGUAUUUUACCUCUCUACGGUGAAACUUACCAAUUGAAAGAUGACAACAAUCACAUACAAAGUAAUGACAGUAUAGCUCCUGAGUAUAGUGAAGGUUGCCAUGAACCAGAGAUGGAAGUCCCUGUGUUCCAGUUUGCAUUGCCAGAUGGUGAGCAGAACAUGUAUGGUAGGAAACAUUUUAUUCCACAUGAAAGCUAUGGCACUUCCAAUCCUGGUUAUAUAGAGACAAGUAAUGGUAGCUCAUUAAAUUGUCCUUCAACAGACAUUUCUUCUUCAACCACACCAUCAGUAUUUGGUGCCAGCAGUAUUCAGAUAUGUGAUAGUAAGAUAAUUGGACUCAACUACCAAUCACCACAGGACCACUCUGAUCCCGACCAUUCCUCUGUAGGAAUACCAACACUAUUAUCACCAUAUCCUGUAAAUGAUAAUAAUUUUGGGGCCAACCGAGCACCGGCUCAGAGGAAAUCUGGACUAAAAUCUCAAUUAUCAAAUGAUAUUUACCACCAGAUCAAUUCACCUGUUUCUAUUUUGACAGAAAAUCAAGGUGAUUGUCCUCAAGUGCUGUCUGAUGGUGAAACUGAUGAUGAAUCAGACAGAGAAAACCAUAAUAUCGCAGAUCCUGACCAGAAUUUGGUUUCAUCAAGUUUAAUGUCAUCAGAAAGACUUAACUCACUUGAAAUUUGUGCUUCAGAUAGUUCCCAAGUACCAUCCAUUAAUCAGGAUGAAAUAACUGUGGAAAAUAAUCCUUUCACAAAUCAUGGAGGGAAAAGUGAAUUGAAUCCAGAAUAUGAGAAUUUACAGGAAAGUAGUUAUCAAGAUAACUGUAAACUGGAACAAGGGUUACGGACAUCAGUCAGUUCACAGGAGGAGAGGAAUAUGUCUGCUGAUGAUGAAAAAGUUUUAUCUCCUAAAAGACAAACUUCUCCAAACAGUGACACUCUUGAGAUGAAGGAGACCUUUGAUAGCGCAUUUUUGGAGUGUGAUAAUAGAAAUGAUGAAGAUGAUCUGUGUGGUGAGGUGAUUACUCAAUCAUCAGAUUCAGAACAAAUGGAUAGGAGUUCAGUGGACAAGUCAGAGGAAGUUAGAUUGAAUUGAAUGAAAGAUACAGGAAGAAAUGAGGAAGAUUAUAGAAAUUUGAGAAUUGUUAAACUGAAAGGAUAAAAAUGGUUGUGGUGCAUUGGAAAAUCCAAAUAUAUCAAAAGGAGAUAUAUAUUAUAUAUAUUACAAAAGGAAAGUAAGGAUGGUAUCAUUUAGAAGAUUUAUCUCGUCAGCCAUGCAGUUAUCAAGACGAACGUGGAGAUGAAAGAUAAUUUUUUUACCAGUUUUAAAGUCACUGUAUUGAUCAUAACAGCAUAUUUGGUUGGUUUUUGGAAGAAUCAAAAAGUGGUC